RNAcentral lists this ribosomal RNA (686 nucleotides) under uncultured bacterium. Its description in RNAcentral is "bacterial SSU rRNA". It matches the Rfam family "Bacterial small subunit ribosomal RNA", at positions 29 to 744 of the family's 1533-position model. The record is from RNAcentral.
AUGAACGCUGGCGGCAGGCCUAACACAUGCAAGUCGAACGGAGUUAUAUUGUAGCUUGCUAUGGUAUAACUUAGUGGCAGACGGGUGAGUAAUGUAUAGGAAUCUACCUAGUAGUACGGAAUAAUUGUUGGAAACGGCAACUAAUACCGUAUACGCCCUACGGGGGAAAAAUUUAUUGCUAUUAGAUGAGCCUAUAUUAGAUUAGCUAGUUGGUGGAGUAAUAGCCUACCAAGGCAAUGAUCUAUAGCUGAUCUGAGAGGAUGAUCAGCCACACUGGAACUGAGAUACGGUCCAGACUCCUACGGGAGGCAGCAGUGGGGAAUAUUGGACAAUGGGCGAAAGCCUGAUCCAGCCAUGCCGCAUGAGUGAAGAAGGCCUUUGGGUUGUAAAGCUCUUUUAGUGAGGAAGAUAAUGACGGUACUCACAGAAGAAGUCCUGGCUAACCCCGUGCCAGCAGCCGCGGUAAUACGGAGAGGGCUAGCGUUAUUCGGAAUUAUUGGGCGUAAAGGGCGCGUAGGCGGAUUAGUAAGUUAAAAGUGAAUCCUAAGGCUCAACCUUGGAAUUGCUUUUAAAACUGCUAAUCUAGAGAUUGAGAGAGGAUAGAGGAAUUCCUAGUGUAGAGGUGAAAUUCGUAAAUAUUAGGAGGAACACCAGUGGCGAANGCGUCUAUCUGGUUCAAAUCUGAC